UACCCAUAGAGUCUAUGGGGUAUUUGCUACAUAGGUCUAUGGCAUAGACCAAUAAAUUAAGUUUUUUUUAGGUCUAUGCAAAUAUCUUAUCCGUUUUUUUAAAAAUUAACCGUUUUUAAUUUUACAAACAAACAUUUUUAAUUUCCUACAAACAAUAGCUAUAGCUGUAUUAAGCUGAAUAUUUAUUUCACUAUUCGAACGUACGGACGAAUCAAACGUCCAGUACGACAGUUCGGUAAUUAUUAAAAUCUAAUAUUUUGUAUUUUAUAAUUGGAUUUAAUAGUUUUUGUCAAUACUGUUAUAAUAUAUUGUGUGUAAUAUUGUUUGAAGUAUAUCUAUAUUUAUGUAUCACGCAUACUAUUAUUAUGUAUUAUAGUUAAUUUCACUUAUUAUUUUUAUCAGCAAUUAUUGUUUUGUAUUGACGAUUAUUAUUGAAUAAUUUCCCUCGUUUUCAGAUUCAUAGGUCACUCAAUGAUGUCCCAUGGACAUCUUAUGCGAAGAGAAGAACCAACACCGUGCCAAACCUGCGGGGAACUUCCUACAGUCUAACACCUCUUCGUGUACUGACGAAACCGUAUAGAAACCAGAUAAAAACCUAAGGAAUGCCUAACAAUCUUUUCGAAACUCUAAGUCCAAUUGAAGAAAACGUCAACCUGUAUUUUUUUCUACAAUAUGUAAUUGUUUAAUACCUAUUAAAUAUAUCACGGUGUCACGUGC
Molecule: non-coding RNA, 717 nt
Organism: Cinara cedri
Lineage: Eukaryota; Metazoa; Arthropoda; Insecta; Hemiptera; Aphididae
Source: the annotation of a GenBank genome assembly